RNAcentral lists this signal recognition particle RNA (87 nucleotides) under Enterococcus faecium. RNAcentral describes it as "signal recognition particle sRNA small type". It matches the Rfam family "Bacterial small signal recognition particle RNA". From Rfam's summary of the family: The signal recognition particle (SRP) is a universally conserved ribonucleoprotein involved in the co-translational targeting of proteins to membranes. Archaeal SRP consists of a 7S RNA and homologues of the eukaryotic SRP19 and SRP54 proteins. Lineage: Bacteria; Bacillati; Bacillota; Bacilli; Lactobacillales; Enterococcaceae. The record is from RNAcentral. RNAcentral also lists the same sequence under 9 other names.
AGGCUAGGACAAUGGUGGGCUUGUGAAGCGUGUCAGGUCUGGAAGGAAGCAGCACUAAGCAGGUUCCGCCAUGUGUCUGAUUAUAAU